This 254-nucleotide ribosomal RNA is filed under the name uncultured bacterium. Its description in RNAcentral is "partial 16S ribosomal RNA". It matches the Rfam family "Bacterial small subunit ribosomal RNA", at positions 524 to 776 of the family's 1533-position model. The record is from RNAcentral.
UACGGAGGGAGCUAGCGUUGUUCGGAAUUACUGGGCGUAAAGCGCACGUAGGCGGCUUUUUAAGUCAGGGGUGAAAUCCCGGGGCUCAACCCCGGAACUGCCCUUGAAACUGGAGAGCUAGAAUCUUGGAGAGGCGAGUGGAAUUCCGGAGUGUAGAGGUGAAAUUCGUAGAUAUUCGGAAGAACACCAGUGGCGAAGGCGACUCGCUGGACAAGUAUUGACGCUGAGGUGCGAAAGCGUGGGGAGCAAACAGG